GAUGUGUAGGAUAGGUGGGAGGCUUUGAAGUGUGGACGCCAGUCUGCAUGGAGCCGACCUUGAAAUACCACCCUUUAAUGUUUGAUGUUCUAACGUGGACCCGUAAUCCGGGUUGCGGACAGUGUCUGGUGGGUAGUUUGACUGGGGCGGUCUCCUCCUAAAGAGUAACGGAGGAGCACGAAGGUUGGCUAAUCCUGGUCGGACAUCAGGAGGUUAGUGCAAUGGCAUAAGCCAGCUUGACUGCGAGCGUGACGGCGCGAGCAGGUGCGAAAGCAGGUCAUAGUGAUCCGGUGGUUCUGAAUGGAAGGGCCAUCGCUCAACGGAUAAAAGGUACUCCGGGGAUAACAGGCUGAUACCGCCCAAGAGUUCAUAUCGACGGCGGUGUUUGGCACCUCGAUGUCGGCUCAUCACAUCCUGGGGCUGAAGUAGGUCCCAAGGGUAUGGCUGUUCGCCAUUUAAAGUGGUACGCGAGCUGGGUUUAGAACGUCGUGAGACAGUUCGGUCCCUAUCUGCCGUGGGCGCUGGAGAACUGAGGGGGGCUGCUCCUAGUACGAGAGGACCGGAGUGGACGCAUCACUGGUGUUCGGGUUGUCAUGCCAAUGGCACUGCCCGGUAGCUAAAUGCGGAAGAGAUAAGUGCUGAAAGCAUCUAAGCACGAAACUUGCCCCGAGAUGAGUUCUCCCUGAGACUUAGAGUCUCCUGAAGGAACGUUGAAGACGACGACGUUGAUAGGCCGGGUGUGUAAGCGCAGCGAUGCGUUGAGCUAACCGGUACUAAUGAACCGUGAGGCUUAACCUUAC
This 800-nucleotide ribosomal RNA is filed under the name Salmonella enterica subsp. enterica serovar Thompson. RNAcentral's name for it is "partial 23S ribosomal RNA". It matches the Rfam family "Bacterial large subunit ribosomal RNA", at positions 2133 to 2925 of the family's 2925-position model. RNAcentral also lists the same sequence under 1 other name. Lineage: Bacteria; Pseudomonadati; Pseudomonadota; Gammaproteobacteria; Enterobacterales; Enterobacteriaceae. The record is from RNAcentral.